Molecule: small RNA, 143 nt
Filed under: Gammaproteobacteria bacterium
Lineage: Bacteria; Pseudomonadati; Pseudomonadota; Gammaproteobacteria
Description: RtT sRNA
Rfam family: RtT RNA
About the family: This family represents a bacterial cis-regulatory element known as RtT RNA. The exact function of RtT is unknown although it is thought that it may be involved in changing the cellular response in relation to amino acid starvation.
Source: RNAcentral
UUGGUAUGGGGGCUCGAGGGCCGAUGAGAAGCUCCCCGGUUCGAGCCGAGCCCGGCAACGCCGGGCGAGACAGCAGCGCCUUGCAAAGGCGCUGACCCGAAGGGCGAGCCGCUUUGCGGCGAGUCAUCCUCUCGGGCGCGCCA